GAUGAACGCUGGCGGCGUGCCUAAUACAUGCAAGUCGAGCGAACAGAUAAGGAGCUUGCUCCUUUGACGUUAGCGGCGGACGGGUGAGUAACACGUGGGUAACCUACCUAUAAGACUGGAAUAACUCCGGGAAACCGGGGCUAAUGCCGGAUAACAUUUAGAACCGCAUGGUUCUAAAGUGAAAGAUGGUUUUGCUAUCACUUAUAGAUGGACCCGCGCCGUAUUAGCUAGUUGGUAAGGUAACGGCUUACCAAGGCAACGAUACGUAGCCGACCUGAGAGGGUGAUCGGCCACACUGGAACUGAGACGCGGUCCAGACUCCUACGGGAGGCAGCAGUAGGGAAUCGUCCGCAAUGGGCGAAAGCCUGACGGAGCAACGCCGCGUGAGUGAUGAAGGUCUUCGGAUCGUAAAACUCUGUUAUUAGGGAAGAACAAAUGUGUAAGUAACUGUGCACGUCUUGACGGUACCUAAUCAGAAAGCCACGGCUAACUACGUG
Molecule: ribosomal RNA, 497 nt
Filed under: uncultured bacterium
Lineage: Bacteria
Description: partial 16S ribosomal RNA
Rfam family: Bacterial small subunit ribosomal RNA
Source: RNAcentral